Molecule: transfer RNA, 71 nt
Filed under: Muntiacus reevesi (Reeves' muntjac)
Lineage: Eukaryota; Metazoa; Chordata; Mammalia; Artiodactyla; Cervidae
Also listed under: 10 other names
Rfam family: tRNA
About the family: Transfer RNA (tRNA) molecules are approximately 80 nucleotides in length. Their secondary structure includes four short double-helical elements and three loops (D, anti-codon, and T loops).
Source: Rfam by way of RNAcentral
UCCCUGGUGGCUCAGUGGUAAAGAAUCUGCCUGCAAUGCAGGAGACCUGGGUUCGAUCCCUGGGUUGGGAA